This 491-nucleotide ribosomal RNA is filed under the name uncultured bacterium. Its description in RNAcentral is "partial 16S ribosomal RNA". It matches the Rfam family "Bacterial small subunit ribosomal RNA", at positions 29 to 507 of the family's 1533-position model. The record is from RNAcentral.
GUGAACGCUGGCGGUAGGCCUAACACAUGCAAGUCGAACGGCAGCACAGUAAGAGCUUGCUCUUACGGGUGGCGGGUGGCGGACGGGUGAGGAAUACAUCGGAAUCUACUUUUUCGUGGGGGAUAACGUAGGGAAACUUACGCUAAUACCGCAUACGACCUACGGGUGAAAGCAGGGGAUCUUCGGACCUUGCGCGAUUGAAUGAGCCGAUGUCGGAUUAGCUAGUUGGCGGGGUAAAGGCCCACCAAGGCGACGAUCCGUAGCUGGUCUGAGAGGAUGAUCGGCCACACUGGAACUGAGACACGGUCCAGACUCCUACGGGAGGCAGCAGUGGGAAAUAUUGGACAAUGGGCGCAAGCCUGAUCCAGCCAUACCGCGUGGGUGAAGAAGGCCUUCGGGUUGUAAAGCCCUUUUGUUGGGAAAGAAAAGCAGCAGGUUAAUACCCCGCUGUUCUGACGGUACCCAAAGAAUAAGCACCGGCUAACUUCGUG